Molecule: long non-coding RNA, 1516 nt
Filed under: Cyanistes caeruleus (blue tit)
Lineage: Eukaryota; Metazoa; Chordata; Aves; Passeriformes; Paridae
Description: lncRNA (ENSCCEG00000020857.1)
Source: RNAcentral
AUGCUCCCCUUCAGCUGUGGGCGGCACGAUAAUUACUGCCAUCCACCAUGCUGGUCUGGCUUGUCACACAGGCUGCUGAGCCCAGCGCCGCCUCCCCGGCCCCACGUGUGCCAGACGCUGCCAUUUGGCUUCCCCGGCCACAGCUUUGGUUCUUCCCGGCACCGGGGACAUCAGCAGGCUGCUGCCGGGGCUGUCCCGUGCUGGAUCCCAUGCCUGGCUGCCAGGAGAGCUCUGGGGACAGCCACUGCUUGGGCAGAUUGGAAAACAAGCUCUGCGGGACACCCCAAAGGUCAGGGAGGGGGUAGGGGCUGUGAGCAGGGGGCUGGACCAGAACAUCUCCAGUGGCCCAAGGAGCCCUGGGGUUCCAAGUCCCAGGAGUGCUGGGGCUCUUUGGGGAUGCUGUGGGAUGCAGCCACUGCCGUGCAGGGGGAGCACCAUGGGCUGAGGGAUGUGCUGUCACCCUGGCAUGGGCACAGAACGGGCCACUCUCCUCCAGGGCACCCUUGUGCCCCAUAGGAGCAGGCUGGGGGCUGGCAGGGGGGCAGCUCUGUGCCUGGACAGCCCCUGGACCAUGAGAUCCAUCAAAAUGGGAUGGAGCUCUGCUACAGUCCCUGUACAAGCACCCGUGGCUGCAUGUGAAACAGAAACCUUGAACCAUGGCUGGCUCCUGGUACCUCCAGAGAUGUCUCUGGGUCAGGGGCAGGUUUGUCUUGGUCAUCACCCUCCCUGGGCAUGUGUCAAAGUGGAUCUUCAUUUCUCACCUAAUGUCUGGCUUGAACAUAAACUGCUUCAGUGUCCUCAUUCAGGAAGAGAAGGACGAAGUUGUGGCUGCCCCUGUUCAAGGGGUGGUUCAAGGUCACCUUGGACAGGGCUUGGAGCAACCUGAUCCAGUGGAAGGUGCCCAUGGCAGGGGCUGGAACAAGAUGAGCUUUGAAGUCCUUUCCAAACUGUUCCAAGAUUCUUUGAGGGACCUUGGCUCACAUUCAGCAUCUUGCAAGACUCAUUUCUCACUAUGGACAAUGGGACCUGGAUGUGGCCACAAAUUGGCAUGGUCCUUCCAGACUGCCACAGCCUCAGGCUGUGCUUCCCAUCAUUGCAGCAGCUCCUUCUGUGGCUCCUCUGGUCCAACAGCAUCACAGCCCCAGUCCUGAGCCCAUCCAUCGUGUCUUUGGACAGCACGUGUGCUCAAGCACCUGGCCCCUACCUCAGUUUCCCCAUCCCAUCCGAUCCCUCUCCCUGGCCACAGCAGCAUCCCAAGGGAGCUGGACAGCUGCAGCUGAAACACGGGGAGAUGCAACAGCUGAAAAAACCAAUCCGUGCUCUGGCAGCAUCCCUGGGAUCCUGUUGGAGGCUGUGAUGGAGAGCAGAAUGGAUCUGGCCCCUGUCUGAGUCGUCCUUUCCCAGCACCCAAAGUGCUCAGAUUUGCUGGGAAUGCACGUGGUAAAGCAAAAUUUAGGAGAUCUGAGGUGCCAGCAGCUCUGCAGCUCCUGCACAGGUUACAUGGAAGAUGAACUUU